This is a long non-coding RNA of Notolabrus celidotus (New Zealand spotty), 355 nucleotides long. RefSeq lists it as uncharacterized. The transcript has 3 exons. NCBI's taxonomy places the organism in Eukaryota, Metazoa, Chordata, Actinopteri, Labriformes, Labridae. The record is from RefSeq and is a predicted model, not a curated record.
GGUUGUGCUGUUUGUUUGACUUGACCUGCUCCAAUAUCACUGACCUCCUGAGGGCUUACACAACCUCCAGGCCCCUCAGAUCAUCUGACAUGGGCCAGCUGGAAGUCCCUUGAUGAAAUCUUAAAUUCAGAGGCUUUAACAGUGUCCCUCCCUCCCUCUUCAUCCUCCCUGAGGGCCCUGCUGGCCUUGGCACAGAGAUGCCAGCCUGUCUGCCCGCAUUUCCCUCGGCACGACGGUGGCAGCUGGGGGCCUGGCUGCCCUGUCUGCCUCCAUACUCCCUGGUGUGCAAAAGAAAAAGGGUCAAUUCACAAUAUGUAGUAGCAAACACGUCUGCAAACACCAGGACAGCUGUGCA